Molecule: long non-coding RNA, 845 nt
Filed under: Amphibalanus amphitrite
Lineage: Eukaryota; Metazoa; Arthropoda; Thecostraca; Balanomorpha; Balanidae
Description: uncharacterized LOC122384563
Source: RNAcentral
UUUUCCGACCGUUGCGUGUUAUUACUUUGGUUGCUAUGCAAAGUUUUAAUAUGUUUGUUUAAUAAUAUAAACACAUUUUCAUGUGUUUAAAGGUCGCAAAAGCUUAACAUAAGUGGCAACCACACUUUGUAUUACGUUUCGUCUCAUAUAUCAUGAAGAACAACCAAGUAUUUCAAGGUGGGAACAUCCUGAGGAACUUCAACCAAGGAAAGUUGAGGCGAGGGCGAGUAUGUCCCUGAGGAGGACCAUGCAAAGGAGGUCAAGGAGAUUCUGGGGGCAACCUGCGAGCAACCUCUAGACCAGCCAGCAGGGACCUCUGACAAUGCCGCUGCCGGUGUCGACGCUGGCAGCCAUGGCCGGCGCCGAGCUGACGAGUUCCAACCUGGAAGCUCAGCGCGAGGGGCUGGCAUUUGUUGCCGGCUUCGUGGCAUACAAGUGUCACCACAUCGACGCCACCCUCGGUAGCCGGUCUCCUGACUUCUCGGGCGCCGCUGGAGACACUGAACACCCUGCCGAACAGCUGAAUUGUGACGAUCAGCCGAGGCCAGCUGUUUGUUCUGUCACAAGCCUGGAUGGCCGCUGUGGAGGAGUUCGAGCGGAACUUCUGCCUGCUGAUGGGGGCAAGUGCAGAUCAGGGGCCGCGAGUCAUAUAGCGUCUCAAGCUGUUCAUUGCCGUCAAGCAGCCUCAGCUCGGCACCCGCGUGUCCAGGAAGUUGGUGAGCACCCGUCUCCACCUCCCCCUUCGGUCCCUUAGCCUGACUGGACGAGGUCCGGCAGCUGAAAAGAGCCGAUAGAAAAGUUGGCCAUCAUGCAAGGAGCUCUAGGUGAGCUGGUAAACCGGCUCG